GCGCCAUCUGCAAGGUCGUCUGUGUUAUCGCGUUUAUUGUUUACGUCGUGGGUGGUCGUGUUGGUCGCGCGGUGAAUGACAUGUUCGUGGUUGCUGUGCCAACUAUUCGAGAGUCCUACAUAUGAGUGGUGUGGUUUUGGUGUUCGGGGAUGCAAAAAUCAUGUUCGUUCACCAUCGACGGCAGGCGUUUCUACCACAAGAUUCAAUAGGAGAGUGCGCGAAAACGAAUGUGGUUCAAAGCACUCGGUUAUUAGAUGUAGCAGUCGUGUGGUAUGUGCUGAGCUCAUUUUGCUGCCGAUGACUACGAAGAUGCCGUAGAAGGCGAAUUGCGAAGACGUCCGAAGCACACUGAUGCUCAGUACCCAGUGAUUUUGCUUCACCGAGGUGACGAGUUCAACACAACGUCUUAAGUAUGUACAGGCGUCACACACGUAUAAGUUAUAAUAUAGCGACGACGUAUUCCAUUUAACUUAUGUUAUCCUUCUUGUCCCGUACUCAACUUUGUCAACAUCAACAAAUUUAAUUUUAGGGGCCUUCCAGUGUUGAAGUGGCGCAAGACUGCUUCGUAUGUGUGAUCCAGGCACUCAAGUUGACAUGACAGAAAUAACUGAAAGCAGUCUUUGGACAGGUGCAGAACAUUAGUAUGACGUCAACAAGAGGAGAAGAAACCGAUGAGAACUACUAGCAUGUUUGAAGGAGAUGCAUCCUCUACACUUGAAUACCCAGUGCAACAGCAAACGUUCAUUGUCUUUGAAGCCGCAACUACUGGAAUUGUUCAAUGUGUGUCAGAGCUGCAGUGAGCCAUGCAAGGUUACCACAUCAUAUUGGUCCCAAAAUUUGCAGAGUUCCCCUAUCUCGGACGCAGCUGUCAUUUCUCUUUAUUGCUCUUCCGAUCCUACCUUCUCAGAAAUGAAUAUGGUUCACCAUACACUGCAUGGGCACUGCCUUUCUCUGCUCAUGCUUUCGGUUUCUUAUUCUGUUGAAUAAAUCUUCACUUGAGUUUGCAGCCAUUAUGCUGUCUACUGUGUUUGCCCCUCAUCUAUAUUGAUGUGCUCUAACGGUAUAGCACAUCA
Molecule: long non-coding RNA, 1073 nt
Organism: Ornithodoros turicata
Lineage: Eukaryota; Metazoa; Arthropoda; Arachnida; Ixodida; Argasidae
Exons: 3
Source: RefSeq, a predicted model, not a curated record